GAACUGAAGAGUUUGAUCAUGGCUCAGAUUGAACGCUGGCGGCAGGCCUAACACAUGCAAGUCGAGCGGAUGAAGGGAGCUUGCUCCCGGAUUCAGCGGCGGACGGGUGAGUAAUGCCUAGGAAUCUGCCUGGUAGUGGGGGACAACGUUCCGAAAGGAGCGCUAAUACCGCAUACGUCCUACGGGAGAAAGUGGGGGAUCUUCGGACCUCACGCUAUCAGAUGAGCCUAGGUCGGAUUAGCUAGUAGGUGGGGUAAUGGCUCACCUAGGCGACGAUCCGUAACUGGUCUGAGAGGAUGAUCAGUCACACUGGAACUGAGACACGGUCCAGACUCCUACGGG
This 342-nucleotide ribosomal RNA is filed under the name Pseudomonas citronellolis. RNAcentral's name for it is "bacterial SSU rRNA". It matches the Rfam family "Bacterial small subunit ribosomal RNA", at positions 1 to 345 of the family's 1533-position model. Lineage: Bacteria; Pseudomonadati; Pseudomonadota; Gammaproteobacteria; Pseudomonadales; Pseudomonadaceae. The record is from RNAcentral.